GUGCAUGAGUGGUGUUUGGUUUGAUACGGGUGGUUGGCUCCCUGCUUGAGCAGGCACGGCCACGCGUGCAUUCCUUUUCAGUUGUCCGGCAAGGCUUGUAUCGUCUUGAUCGUAUAAGUGGGUUUCUUGUGUUGCAUACCUGAUCAAUGGCAUCGUUUUGAUCAAAAGUGUAUCUAUUUCGUCUGGCAAUGCACCCGCAUUGUCGGAUGAACUGGGCAGCAUCCUCUUUGAUCCAUAAAGUUGACGUGCAUUCGUUGAUUGUUUGGCCCGUUGAGGAUGGCUUGGUCUCUUGGAUAUGGAAGCCAAAGUGGGCAUGGGUUCGUAAGAUCCCUUUACUGCCCUCAUUGAGCGUUCUCGCUUCUCUUACACGACUGCCUUUCACGUAUGGCACGUCCCAGCGUGUUUGGCUAYGUCGAAGAGGAAUGCUACCUGGUUGAU
RNAcentral lists this unclassified non-coding RNA (438 nucleotides) under Ericameria cervina. RNAcentral describes it as "partial external transcribed spacer". Lineage: Eukaryota; Viridiplantae; Streptophyta; Magnoliopsida; Asterales; Asteraceae. The record is from RNAcentral.